Molecule: ribosomal RNA, 426 nt
Filed under: uncultured bacterium
Lineage: Bacteria
Description: partial 16S ribosomal RNA
Rfam family: Bacterial small subunit ribosomal RNA
Source: RNAcentral
UGGGGAAUAUUGCACAAUGGGCGCAAGCCUGAUGCAGCCAUGCCGCGUGUAUGAAGAAGGCCUUCGGGUUGUAAAGUACUUUCAGCGAGGAGGAAGGCGUUGUGGUUAAUAACCGCAGCGAUUGACGUUACUCGCAGAAGAAGCACCGGCUAACUCCGUGCCAGCAGCCGCGGUAAUACGGAGGGUGCAAGCGGUAAUCGGAAUUACUGGGCGUAAAGCGCACGCAGGCGGUCUGUCAAGUCGGAUGUGAAAUCCCCGGGCUCAACCUGGGAACUGCAUCCGAAACUGGCAGGCUAGAGUCUUGUAGAGGGGGGUAGAAUUCCAGGUGUAGCGGUGAAAUGCGUAGAGAUCUGGAGGAAUACCGGUGGCGAAGGCGGCCCCUGGACAAAGACUGACGCUCAGGUGCGAAAGCGUGGGGAGCAAACA